This 253-nucleotide ribosomal RNA is filed under the name uncultured bacterium. Its description in RNAcentral is "partial 16S ribosomal RNA". It matches the Rfam family "Bacterial small subunit ribosomal RNA", at positions 524 to 776 of the family's 1533-position model. The record is from RNAcentral.
UACGUAGGGGGCAAGCGUUGUCCGGAAUCAUUGGGCGUAAAGCGCGUGUAGGCGGCUCGGUAAGUCUGCUGUGAAAGUCCAGGGCUCAACUCUGGGAUGCCGGUGGAUACUGUCGAGCUCGAGUCCGGAAGAGGCGAGUGGAAUUCCUGGUGUAGCGGUGAAAUGCGCAGAUAUCAGGAGGAACACCAAUGGCGAAGGCAGCUCGCUGGGACGUGACUGACGCUGAGACACGAAAGCGUGGGGAGCGAACGGG